CAACCUACGGGACGCAGCAGUGGGGAAUAUUGCACAAUGGGGGAAACCCUGAUGCAGCAACGCCGCGUGAAGGAAGACGGUUUUCGGAUUGUAAACUUCUUUUCUUAGUGAAGAAGCAAGUGACGGUAGCUAAGGAAUAAGCAUCGGCUAACUACGUGCCAGCAGCCGCGGUAAUACGUAGGAUGCGAGCGUUAUCCGGAAUUACUGGGUGUAAAGGGAGCGCAGGCGGGACUGCAAGGUGGAUGUGAAAUACAGCAGCUUAACUGCGGAGCUGGAUCCAAAACUGGAGUUCUU
RNAcentral lists this ribosomal RNA (294 nucleotides) under uncultured bacterium. RNAcentral's name for it is "partial 16S ribosomal RNA". It matches the Rfam family "Bacterial small subunit ribosomal RNA", at positions 333 to 643 of the family's 1533-position model. The record is from RNAcentral.